Molecule: long non-coding RNA, 128 nt
Organism: Nanorana parkeri
Lineage: Eukaryota; Metazoa; Chordata; Amphibia; Anura; Dicroglossidae
Exons: 3
Source: RefSeq, a predicted model, not a curated record
AACAACCUCCCCGCAAGAGUUUCCUGGUCCCAUAAUUACAUAAAGCACAGCUAAGUUACCCAGGCCAGCAGAGUGGAUAAUAAUGAUAUGUAAUGACUGCAUGGAUGCAAACAAUCUGUGUCCAGGUG